RNAcentral lists this ribosomal RNA (468 nucleotides) under uncultured bacterium. RNAcentral describes it as "partial 16S ribosomal RNA". It matches the Rfam family "Bacterial small subunit ribosomal RNA", at positions 28 to 507 of the family's 1533-position model. The record is from RNAcentral.
GACGAACGCUGGCGGCGUGCUUAACACAUGCAAGUCGAACGGAAAGGCCCUGCUUUUGUGGGGUGCUCGAGUGGCGAACGGGUGAGUAACACGUGAGUAACCUGCCCUUGACUUUGGGAUAACUUCAGGAAACUGGGGCUAAUACCGGAUAGGAGCUCCUGCUGCAUGGUGGGGGUUGGAAAGUUUCGGCGGUUGGGGAUGGACUCGCGGCUUAUCAGCUUGUUGGUGGGGUAGUGGCUUACCAAGGCUUUGACGGGUAGCCGGCCUGAGAGGGUGACCGGCGACUGUGGAACGGAGAGAGGGCCCAGACGCCUGCGGGGGGCAGAGGGGGGGAAUUUGAAACAUGGGGGGGAAGCGGGAGGCGGCAACGCCGGGGGGGGGAGGGCGGCGUGGGGGGGGAAAACCGCUGUCGCCUGUGACGAGGGGUGGGGGACGGAAGGGGAAAAAGAAGCACCGGCAAACUACGUG